RNAcentral lists this transfer RNA (85 nucleotides) under bacterium. Its description in RNAcentral is "tRNA-Leu". It matches the Rfam family "tRNA". Rfam says of the family: Transfer RNA (tRNA) molecules are approximately 80 nucleotides in length. RNAcentral also lists the same sequence under 2 other names. The record is from RNAcentral.
GCACCCGUGGUGGAAUUGGCAGACACGUAAGAUUCAGGUUCUUAUGUCGCGAGACGUGGGGGUUCAAGUCCCUCCGGGUGCACCA